CCUUGCUCUGAGACUGUGCACAGAAAGUCUUCUUACUCUGAGUCCGCAGUUCGGUUGCUAAUGCAAAUGAUUUUCUGGGUGGACGGUUGCUCUCUACAGAUGCAUACUGAUACAGCCUUUUGGGGAACGUCUGUGGUGGGCUGGCCACUUGCCUACAGAGAGUGCCCCUGGUCCCAGGGCUCUGGCAGGGAAUUAACCAACUCGUCAGUCCCACCUCACCUGCGUGAGAGCGCAGAGCUAGCCCACACCACCUGGCUGCAGUAAGCACUGCUGUUCGCGGCUGAGAAAUAGCACCCAGUCUUCCAAGAUAUAUUUGAAUGAACUUAAAUACAUCCUCAAAAGACACGCUGUUUUGCAAG
Oxyura jamaicensis (ruddy duck) is the source of this 359-nucleotide long non-coding RNA. RefSeq lists it as uncharacterized. The record is from RefSeq and is a predicted model, not a curated record. NCBI's taxonomy places the organism in Eukaryota, Metazoa, Chordata, Aves, Anseriformes, Anatidae. The transcript is spliced from 3 exons.